UCCCGCUGAAGUUAAGCAUAUCUUUAAGCGUAGGAGAAGAAACUAACAAGGAUUCCCCUAGUAACUGCGAGUGAAGCGGGAAAAGCUCAAAUUUAAAAUCUGGCGGUCUUUCGGCCGUCCCAGUUGUAAUCUGGAGAAACGUUUAUCCGCGUUGGACCGUGUACCAGUCUUCUGGAAGGGAGCGUCAUAGAGGGUGAGAAUCCCGUCUUUGACACGGACUACCAAUGCUUUUGUGAUGCGCUCUCGAAGAGUCGAGUUGUUUGGGAAUGCAGCUCAAAAUGGGUGGUAAAUUCCAUCUAAUGCUAAAUAUUGGCGAGAGACCCAUAGCGAACAAGUACCGUGAGGGAAAGAUGAAAAGCACUUUGGAAAGAGAGUUAACCAGUACGUGAAAUUGUUGACAGGGAAACGUUUGUAGUCAGUCGCGUCGGCCGAGACUCAGCCUUGCUUCCGCUCGGUGCACUUCUCGGUUGACGGGUCACCAUCAAUUUCGACCGCCGGAUAAAGGUUGAGGGAACGUGACAUCUUUCGAGGUGUGUUAUAGCCCUUGAUUCGCAUACGGCGAUUGGGAUUGAGGAACUCAGCGCGCCUUUAUGGUCGUGGUAGCUUCCCACGUAACGCGCUCAGGAUGCUGGCAUAAUGGCUUUAAACGACCCGUCGUGAAACACG
RNAcentral lists this ribosomal RNA (666 nucleotides) under uncultured fungus. RNAcentral's name for it is "eukaryotic LSU rRNA". It matches the Rfam family "Eukaryotic large subunit ribosomal RNA", at positions 24 to 663 of the family's 3401-position model. The record is from RNAcentral. Lineage: Eukaryota; Fungi.